GCAUCUCCCUUACACCGAGAAGUCAUCCGUGCAAGUCGGAUUACCCU
RNAcentral lists this transfer RNA (47 nucleotides) under Bembradium roseum. RNAcentral describes it as "partial tRNA-Val". RNAcentral also lists the same sequence under 1 other name. The record is from RNAcentral. Lineage: Eukaryota; Metazoa; Chordata; Actinopteri; Perciformes; Bembridae.